This 648-nucleotide ribosomal RNA is filed under the name Triticum aestivum (bread wheat). RNAcentral's name for it is "partial small subunit ribosomal RNA". The record is from RNAcentral. Lineage: Eukaryota; Viridiplantae; Streptophyta; Magnoliopsida; Poales; Poaceae.
AUGCAUAAGUACCUUGAGGACAGUCUAAAUCCUAGUCAACAGCGUGUGGACUGCAGCCAGGCAGACAUCAACUAUAUCCUCAAGCUCAUCCACAUCCUGUGCCUACCCGAAAUGAAAAUCUUCUUCGAUACAACUAGGCUGCUAGCCAAACACACAGAUGAUCUGUUAGAUGAGCUCUGCAAGUACAUAGUAGAUGGGAAGAUCGUCCAUACGGCUGUUUUGCUCCUAGCAGCUCAAAAGCAGAUCCGCGGGCUAUCUUCCUGCAAUGGAUGUGGGAGUAGUAAGAAAGAUGGGUUUGGUACUAUCACUAACUUUGUCGUGGACAACAUUACUGCUAUAAAGAUGCGCCAAAACAGACUGGAAAUGGAGCCACUAGAGGUGAAAAAGGAGCUUCUUGAUGUUACAUUGAAUCUUGUUCAUGUAAUUUUCAAAGCUGGUGAAGCUCUUGAUGUUUACAUAAGGUCUCAUCCAAAGAUUCCCUGUGUCAUGGAAGUGGCCCAUGCGGAGGUCUUUGAACAUGUUACGCUCAUUCUGAAGGAUCAUGGAUUUUUUUUCUAUUGGAGAUGGCAUAGACAUUGGAAAUCUCCAACCCUAUCGGAAUGUGCUAUCCUCUCAAGAGCUACCUCGCAAAUUAGAGGAGAUGGCUAG